CGGGGUGCAUGAGACAUGCAAGUCGAACGGGGUUGAUCGGGCUUGCUCGAUCAACCUAGUGGCGGACGGCUGAGUAACGCGUAGGUGACCUGCCCGGAAGUGGGGAAUAACUGCCCGAAAGGUUGGCUAAUACCGCAUGUGGCCGACGAUUCGGUUCGUCGUCUAAAGCCGCAAGGCGCUUCCGGAGGGGCCUGCGUCCGAUUAGCUAGUUGGUGGGGUAACGGCUCACCAAGGCGACGAUCGGUAGCUGGUCUGAGAGGAUGAUCAGCCAGACUGGGACUGAGACACGGCCCAGACUCCUACGGGACCCACCAAACGGGAAUUCUGCCCAAUGAUUUUUAAUCUUGAGGCAGCAACUCCGCGUGAGGGACGAAGGCCUUCGGGUUGUAAACCUCUUUUCUCAGGGAAGAUACUAGACGGUACCUGAGGAAUAAGCCACGGCUAACUACGUGCCAGCAGCCGCGGUAAUACGUAGGUGGCUAGCGUUGUCGGAAUUACUGGGCGUAAAGAGCGCGCAGGCGGCUGGCCAAGUCCGAUGUGAAAUCUCCCGGCUCAACUGGGAACCCGCAUCUGAAACUGGUCGGCUUGUAGGCGGGAGAGGGUUAGUGGAAUUUCCCUGUGUAGUGGUGAAAUGCUUAGUAAGUGGUGAAAAGGCGUAGAAUAUAGGAAAGGAAACAAUGGCGAAGGCGAUUACCUGGCCACCAUUACAUGAAGAAUAAGGCGCGAAAGCUAGGGGAGCGAACGGGAUUUAGAUACCACGAUAGUCAUAAGCCGUAAAAAAAUGAACAUUAGGCGUUGUCGGUAUCGACCCCGGCAGUGCCGAAGCUUACGCAUUAAGUGUUCCCGCCUGGGGAGUACGGCCGCAAGGCUAAAACUCAAAGGAAUUGACGGGGGACCGCACAAGCAGCGGAGCGUGUGGUUUAAUUCGUCGGUACGCGAAGAACCUUACCAGGACUUGACAUGCACCGGAAAAACGGCGGAAACGUCGUCCUCCCGCAAGGGACCGGUGUGCAGGUGUUGCAAGGCUGUCGUCAGCUCGUGUCGUGAGAUGUUGGGUUAAGUCCCGCAACGAGCGCAACCCCCGUGGCAUGUUGUACCACUCAUGCCAGACUGCCGAGAGAAACUCGGAGGAAGGUGGGGUCGACGUCGGGUCGGCAUGGCCCUUACGUCCUGGGCUACACACACGCUACAAUGGCCGGUACAACGGGUUGCCAAACCGCGAGGUGGAGCUAAUCCCAUAAAGCCGGUCUCAGUUCGGAUUGCAGGCUGAAACUCGCCUGCAUGAAGCCGGAGUUGCUAGUAACCGCAGGCCAGCACACUGCGGUGAAUAUGUUCCCGGGCCUUGUACACACCGCCCGUCACGUCAUGAAAGCCGAUAACACCCGUAGCCGGU
RNAcentral lists this ribosomal RNA (1393 nucleotides) under uncultured bacterium. RNAcentral's name for it is "16S ribosomal RNA". It matches the Rfam family "Bacterial small subunit ribosomal RNA". The record is from RNAcentral.